UACGUAGGUGGCGAGCGUUGUUCGGAUUCAUUGGGCGUAAAGGGUGCGCAGGUGGUCUGAUAAGUCUGACGUGAAAUACCGGAGCUCAACUCCGGAACUGCGUUGGAGACUGUUGGACUUGAGUAUCGGAGAGGAAAUUGGAAUUCCAAGUGUAGCGGUGGAAUGCGUAGAUAUCUGGAAGAACAUCGAUAGCGAAGGCAGAUUUCUGGACGAUAACUGACACUCAGGGACGAAAGCAUGGGGAGCAAACAGGAUUAGAUACCCUGGUAGUCCAUGCCCUAAACGUUGUAAACUUGAUAUGGGGAGAUUUACUCCUUUCCGUGUCGAAGCUAACGCGAUAAGUUUACCGCCUGGGAAGUACGGCCGCAAGGCUAAAACUCAAAGGAAUUGACGGGGGCCCGCACAAGCGGUGGAGCAUGUGGCUUAAUUCGAGGCAACGCGAAGAACCUUACCCGGAUUUGACAUAUAUAGGAAUGUGAUGGAAACAUUACAGCUCGCAAGAGUCGAUAUACAGGUGCUGCAUGGUUGUCGUCAGCUCGUGCCGUGAGGUGUUCGGUUAAGUCCGGCAACGAGCGCAACCCAUGUCAUCAGUUGCUACCAGGUAAAGCUGGGCACUCCGAUGAGACUGCCCGUGUUAAGCGGGAGGAAGGCGGGGAUGACGUCAAGUCCGUAUGGCCUUUAUAUCCG
Molecule: ribosomal RNA, 687 nt
Filed under: human gut metagenome
Description: bacterial SSU rRNA
Rfam family: Bacterial small subunit ribosomal RNA
Source: RNAcentral